GAACUGCGAUACGUAAUGUGACUUGCAGAAUCUCGUGAAUCAUCAAAUCUUUGAACGCAAAUGGCGCUCCCGUGCAGGGAGCACGCCUGUCUGAGUAUCAUAUACCCUCUCUAUUUUCGAUUUCCCCUUAAGCGGGUGGAUCGAAAUUCUGGUGGGAGUCUCACAAUUUCGAUAUUGUGCGUCUUCUUAAAGACCUCAUUUUCAAAUCUGGGGUGGUUUUUGCCGUUUUCCCUAAAACCUAAAAAAUCCCUGGGGCUGUUUUUGCGCUGUAAGCUUUACUGCUCCUCGCAAUGCACGCCUCUCGGUUUGGGUGGUAGGGGGCGAAACCGCCGCAUUUUUAUUAUUCCGUGAUCUCAGAUCAGGCGAGACGACCCGCUGAACUUAA
This 385-nucleotide unclassified non-coding RNA is filed under the name uncultured fungus. RNAcentral describes it as "sequence contains ITS1". The stretch from base 1 to 100 matches the Rfam family "5.8S ribosomal RNA", at positions 50 to 154 of the family's 154-position model. The record is from RNAcentral. Lineage: Eukaryota; Fungi.